GUAGGGAAUCUUCCGCAAUGGACGAAAGUCUGACGGAGCAACGCCGCGUGAGUGAAGAAGGCCUUCGGGUCGUAAAACUCUGUUGUCAGGGAAGAACAAGUACCAUUCGAAUAGGGUGGUACCUUGACGGUACCUGACCAGAAAGCCACGGCUAACUACGUGCCAGCAGCCGCGGUAAUACGUAGGUGGCAAGCGUUGUCCGGAAUUAUUGGGCGUAAAGCGCGCGCAGGCGGUCCUUUAAGUCUGAUGUGAAAGCCCACGGCUCAACCGUGGAGGGUCAUUGGAAACUGGGGGACUUGAGUGCAGAAGAGAAGAGUGGAAUUCCACGUGUAGCGGUGAAAUGCGUAGAGAUGUGGAGGAACACCAGUGGCGAAGGCGACUCUUUGGUCUGUAACUGACGCUGAGGCGCGAAAGCGUGGGGAGCAAACAGGAUUAGAAACCCGGGUAGUCC
RNAcentral lists this ribosomal RNA (451 nucleotides) under uncultured bacterium. RNAcentral's name for it is "bacterial SSU rRNA". It matches the Rfam family "Bacterial small subunit ribosomal RNA", at positions 354 to 796 of the family's 1533-position model. The record is from RNAcentral.